AUUAGGAAUCUUGCACAAUGGGGGAAACCCUGAUGCAGCGACGCCGCGUGGAGGACGAAGGCAUUCGUGUCGUAAACUCCUUUUGACAGGGAAGAAGAAUGUGACGGUACCUGUCGAAUAAGCCCCGGCUAACUACGUGCCAGCAGCCGCGGUAAUACGUAGGGGGCGAGCGUUGUCCGAAGUUACUGGGCGUAAAGCGCGCGUAGGCGGCUUUUUAAGUCUGGGGUGAAGGGUUCUGCGCUUAACGUGAACAGUGCCCUGGAGACUGGAAGGCUUGAGUGUGGGAGGGGGCAGUGGAAUUCCUGGUGUAGCGGUGAAAUGCGUAGAUAUCAGGAGGAACACCGAUGGCGAAGGCAGCUGCCUGGCCUAACACUGACGCUGAGGUGCGAAAGCGUGGGGAGCGAACGG
Molecule: ribosomal RNA, 408 nt
Filed under: uncultured bacterium
Lineage: Bacteria
Description: bacterial SSU rRNA
Rfam family: Bacterial small subunit ribosomal RNA
Source: RNAcentral